RNAcentral lists this ribosomal RNA (368 nucleotides) under Shuttleworthella satelles. RNAcentral describes it as "bacterial SSU rRNA". It matches the Rfam family "Bacterial small subunit ribosomal RNA", at positions 86 to 454 of the family's 1533-position model. The record is from RNAcentral. Lineage: Bacteria; Bacillati; Bacillota; Clostridia; Lachnospirales; Lachnospiraceae.
UUAUUUCGAGUGGCGGACGGGUGAGUAACGCGUGAGCAACCUGCCCUAUACCGGGGGAUACCAGUUGGAAACGACUGUUAAUACCGCAUAAGCGCACGAUAAGACAUCUUGUUGUGUGAAAAACUCCGGUGGUAUAGGAUGGGCUCGCGUAUGAUUAGCCAGUUGGCGGGGUAAAGGCCCACCAAAGCGACGAUCAUUAGCCGACCUGAGAGGGCGACCGGCCACAUUGGGACUGAGACACGGCCCAAACUCCUACGGGAGGCAGCAGUGGGGAAUAUUGCACAAUGGGCGAAAGCCUGAUGCAGCGACGCCGCGUGAGUGAGGAAGUAUUUCGGUAUGUAAAGCUCUAUCAGCAGGGAAGAAAGAAA